AGCUCUGCACAGUAGCAGUAUCAUAGCCAAUGAGGUUUAUCCAAGGUGUGAUUAUUGCUAAUGGAAAACUUUACCCAAUACCCCGUCAUGACUUGACUUGACUUUACUUGAAAUAUAGUCGGCAUUGGCGAUUUUUGGCAGUCUCUACAGGGA
RNAcentral lists this small nuclear RNA (153 nucleotides) under Cebus imitator (Panamanian white-faced capuchin). RNAcentral's name for it is "U4 spliceosomal RNA (ENSCCAG00000001765.1)". It matches the Rfam family "U4 spliceosomal RNA". Rfam says of the family: U4 small nuclear RNA (U4 snRNA) is a component of the major U2-dependent spliceosome. Lineage: Eukaryota; Metazoa; Chordata; Mammalia; Primates; Cebidae. The record is from Rfam by way of RNAcentral.